Molecule: ribosomal RNA, 430 nt
Filed under: Pseudomonadota bacterium
Lineage: Bacteria; Pseudomonadati; Pseudomonadota
Description: Proteobacteria bacterium partial 16S ribosomal RNA
Rfam family: Bacterial small subunit ribosomal RNA
Source: RNAcentral
UGGGGAAUAUUGGACAAUGGGGGGAACCCUGAUCCAGCCAUGCCGCGUGUGUGAAGAAGGCCUUAUGGUUGUAAAGCACUUUAAGCGAGGAGGAGGGUACUGGUAUUAAUACUACCAGGUACUGGACGUUACUCGCAGAAUAAGCACCGGCUAACUCUGUGCCAGCAGCCGCGGUAAUACAGAGGGUGCGAGCGUUAAUCGGAUUUACUGGGCGUAAAGCGUGCGUAGGCGGCUAAUUGAGUCGGAUGUGAAAUCCCCGAGCUUAACUUGGGAAUUGCAUUCGAUACUGGUUAGCUAGAGUGUGGGAGAGGAUGGUAGAAUUCCAGGUGUAGCGGUGAAAUGCGUAGAGAUCUGGAGGAAUACCGAUGGCGGAGGCAGCCAUCUGGCCUAACACUGACGCUGAGGUACGAAAGCAUGGGGGGCAAACAGG